CCUCUCCCAACCCUUAUGACGAGCCUUCUGUCUUUCUCCUUCGCUCCCCUUGUGUCCCUGUCUCAUAUCUAAGGAAAAGAGAAUGAGAGAACGCAUGUGCACUGAUUUCACAUGUCAUUCUCCUUUCAGUGUUCUUGGCACGGAUUUAAAGAGAAAAUCCAUUCUAGGAGGGGUGGAAUGACAAGGAGUUAUUGAUUUCUCAGUGCAGAAAGAGAUUACAACAAAGGUAUUGCAUGUAAUUUCUGUAGAGUCUUCUAGAUCUUGUAAAUUCUAUUCUUGAGCACAAGGCUAUUUGCAAAGCAAACAAGUUCUAAAUGCCAAGGAUUUGAUUUUUUUCUUAUUCUUCACAGCUUCAUAUUAGAAUCUAUUCAAUCAUUUCUUUUAUGUAUGCAUCUUAUGUUUUUGCUUUGCUUCUCUGUUUGAUGGAAGUUGCUUUAAUUUUAGUAGUGUAGAUCCUCCAAAAGUUGGAAAACAACAGAGGUAAUGUAAUGCUGAAGAUAGAAUCAAUGUGAAGGUGCAAGACAUUUUAUGUUUCUUUCUCUUUUUAAUAGCAAGAAUUAGUUCCUUCUCUUCUUUUUCCUAUUCAUCUUCUUUUUUUCUUGGUACAUAUAAAAGAUUCCUUUGAGACUGCAUGGUAAAUCUAUUUUUGUGGAUGAAAUCAUAAAAUUGAUCUCAUUUUCUUAAAGAUUAAAUUUUGGAUCAAGGAUCACAUCCAGAAAACUAACCUCACUGUGAUGGCCAAUGCUUUCAGGCAAUUUGUGAUCCUGUUUUUGGAAACAAACCGCCUUCGCAGCACCCUUUCAAACCCUGAGCUUGGUGUGAGUUCGCCAUAAUCCCAAUCUCAGAAAAGAAGGGUGUCGUCUUUCAGCAAAACCUGUUCACUUCACGGAUCUGGGAGGAAUUCAAACAGGACAGCUUUGUGAUAUAAGGCUGUGCUAAGUGGCUAUUAGACCUCAAAUUUAAAUGAGCAGGAAUUCUAUGAAAGCAUCUACUUAUCUGAAAGAAGAUUGGAGUUCCAGGAAGCUUGUCGAGAAGAUGCUGUAAUCAAACCUUUAAAUGCAUUUCGAGUUACUGAGCUAUCAGUCGAGUAUACCAAGCAAUCAGACUGAGACAAGCUUGCUGGGUUGGUUCCAUGGAGGGCAGAAUGAGGAGGAAGAAACUGGAAAGUGGUGCAAUUAUUGGGCACAAGAGAACUCUAGUGCAUGAGCCGGACCAAAGAGCUACUCCGACAGUCUAUUUCAGCAUGGAAUCGUUUCUGCUGCUUCUCUUCCUCACUGCAUCACUGCUGAUACUCCCACUUGUACUGCCACCAUUACCACCUCCCCCUUCCAUGCUGCUUCUGCUUCCCAUUGGCCUUCUCCUUGUGCUUUUGAUACUGGCUUUUAUGCCUUCAGAUGCACGAAAUAUCACAUCCUCCUACCUGUAAAUAUCUUGUGAGCUUUCCUUUUGCAAAUCAUGAGUGAGUACAUCUUCUUUCCUUUAGUUAUUUUGAAUCGAACCUGAAUAUUUCCUCCGACAUGGCUGUGAUUUCAUAUCACAAAAGCUAAUGUCAGGUGGAUGUGUUGCCACCUCUGAACAUCUUCGUAUAGAAUUUCUCCAUUAAGAACUACAGAUGCUAACAAGGGAGAUCAUUUUAAGCAAGAUGUUGAGAGAAUUGUAUUAUUAUGAGCUUGCAACGUUCCCUACUCCUGCUGAUAAAUAUCGGAAAUUUGCACUGAGCUUACAAGAUCUCAACACUGCCGACAAGCAAAUAGCUCCAGCUAAGAAGCUUGAAACAGGGAACAAACUGAAUUUAUCUGACUCAUUUCUCUUGAGUUGUGACAGCGAAAAGCUUCAAGGACUAAAGUUGUCAUAGAGAGAUGCCAUACCGACAAGGAGCUUUUGGUGCUCACGGGUUUAGAGAGACUGUCUCACUUGUCUUCUGCAUGAUCCAAGUAUAGUGAUUGAGAAAUGUCAUACAUAAAGAAAUUGAACCAAAUUUUUGUUAACACUGUUCCAAAAUACAUAUUUGAGCAAACAACACAUCUGAAUUUAUUUGAAAAGACUCUGGUUGUCAAAUAUUAGUUUGAUCAUUUUGUUUUAUCAAGAAUGCAAGAAAUGAUGAUUCUAAUGUAAAUCUAUGAAAUAAAGCAUGGUUAUCAAUAACACAUACAGCUCUCAGAAAGAUCUCAGAAAGAUAAAAGGACACUCAGCCUCACUACACCCUUCCUAUUUUUUUCUUUUUUCUUUUGUUAAAUAGGCUAUCAAUAUCUUCCUGCCACCCUCCUUGUAAAAAUUUCUGAAAUAAUAUAAUCUUAUAAAAAGUUCAUUUUGCUUGUUAUGAGCCCUUGCAAGUUGCAACCACAGUCAUUGUUCAGGCAUCGCAUUUGCUGCUUGAAAGGUACUUCCCUAUAUUCUAUGGAAAAAAACCUGGAACGAAUGAUUGUUGAUUAUAACUGGAUGUAUAUAAGUAUGGAGUAGAGGAGUUAAUAUCAUUGUAAGGUGAGAGGACGAGAGUCAAUAGUUUUUGCUUAAAUCUGAUUAAUUUAUGCCUUAUUUUUCAUAUUUUACUUCUUGUACUGUUUGCAAAAUCUGAUUAAUCAAUGCAGCUAAAGGAUCAACAUCCUAUGGUCACUGGAGACUACUUCUUGAUAUCUUUGGCAGCAUUGUAGCUUCAGGAAGGCUUCUGAGAGUAUCCAAACGUACAGAGCAUGCACAAAGGUGGCAGGAAAGACUGCAGCUGCUGGGUUACAAUUGUUAUCUUGGUAGGUGCAGUUGCUUUUGCUAUAUCCUGACAUGCAUAAUGUAAUCCAUCAAUUCAGAAACUAUUUGGCCCUCCCUUGGUGCAACUCUGCAUCUUACCUUUGCUGUGAGAUGAAUCCACCAUUGUCUUGCAGUCGGAGAUAACCUGAGUUUUUAGAUCCUCAGACACCUCCUGUGUCUGUGGCAGUAUACAGAGGGUAGUCAGUGCUAUCAGGACACUAGGUCAUCUGUGGUAUCAUUUUCCAAGCUAUAAUCAUCUUUUUAGCCACUUCUAUAUCCAUCAUGCCACUAAGAAUCAAAUCAACCACAUAGAAUUGAUGCCUAACAGCACAAUUAUUUGAUCUUUUCAAAAUUUUCUUAUGUUUAACAGGCAACAAUGGUGUGUCAACUGUUGACCCAACUUUAAUCCAAUUUCAAUGCUUCAACUAAUUUCUCUUGUUUUCAUUCUCCUUUCAACUAAUUUAGUAUGUAAUAGUUUGUAUAUGUUGAACAUCUUAUGUUCUUUCUGAUGAAUAUUGAUCACAAUCAGUUUAAAUCUUUACCAAAGCUUGAUGGAUCUUAUUCAAAGAUUCUAACAAAUAGGUCUUAAGGGACAAAAUGUCUUUUUCUUAGUAUUAGUAUCACACAGUAAACCUAUGUGUGUGUGUAUGUAUAUAAUAAUAUAUAUAUAUAUAUAUAUAUAUAUGAUUUGAGAGAGUAAACUUUUACAUUUAAAUAUUUUAUAUUUACUUUCCAUAUCAUAGAUUAAUCUAUUAUUACCAAAAGAAUUAUUUUAAUAUAUUACUAUAUUAUGAUUGUGGCCAUCAUGGUUAAGCUAAAUUUAAUUACUAUACUUAAGCUUUUCUGACUCCUAAAUUUAUGAACCAAACAUGUCCAAGAUUUGAUUAUUCUGAUUUAGGUUCCUGUAAAUUUGAAUUUAAAUAAUGAGCCAUAGACCACUUGUGUCUUUUAAAUAAGAUUAUAGCUGGUGUAAGAUCCACAGUCAUGCCUUGCAAGUUCAAGCUUUUGCAUCCUCACCAAAAAUCUUCUUCUUCCAAAUAGAUUUGAGGCAUUAGUUUGUGAGUACAUUCUACCCAAACCUGAUGGAUCAGUGUUGUAACUGCAUACAGAUCAUGGGUAUCCAUUGGUCUCAUCUUGAGAAUUUUAUUUCAUAUGUAUGGGUAGUGAAGUGGUCUAGAGAAUUGGACAUUCUUUCACCCAGGUGCAGUUUUAUUCAAUCCUGAACAUACUCAAACUGCACACUGUGGUGCUGGCUCUUUGUUCUAGGAACAAUUGCAAAAAUGUCAUCUCCCAGCAUCUUGGGGUUUGUAAUUAGAUUCUAACAGGAAAACAAGGAUGGUCCUCUCAGCUGUAAUCAUGUCCUAUAACCUAUCUAGGUACAUGAAGGGAUCAACAGGAUUAAUGCACAAGGUGGAGCAUCUUAAAGAGGUUUCUCCGGUCUUAAAUCAUGGGAAGCGUAAAAGAAUCGCAAUAUGGACUUGGUACAGAUGAAGAUACUUAUGCUACAGAUGUACAUAAAGCAAUGAGAUGCUAGGUUAGGACCUCUUACAUGGUUUAAGCAAUAGAGUGUGGUCAACCAACAGCAUUGUAGAGUGUAGGAGAAGGGGCAUGAGCU
Molecule: long non-coding RNA, 4357 nt
Filed under: Musa acuminata (dwarf banana)
Lineage: Eukaryota; Viridiplantae; Streptophyta; Magnoliopsida; Zingiberales; Musaceae
Description: long non-coding RNA (MACU_LNC003075)
Source: RNAcentral